UCUCCUCUUCUCCUCACUCAAAUUUCUUCAUCUACUUCUCUAAUUUGUUACAAAAUCACAUAAAAACCAUUAACCCACUUCAUCUUCUUCAUCUCUCCCUCACAAAAUUUGUUUUUUGCUUCAAAAUUUCUCAUUUCCCCAAUUUGUGCCCUAAUUCUCGAUUUUCACCAUUUUGCCUCCAUUCAAUCAAUGCCGAGGACCAAGCAAGCUGGAAAAAG
This 218-nucleotide long non-coding RNA is filed under the name Olea europaea (common olive). Its description in RNAcentral is "long non-coding RNA (OEUR_LNC012334)". The record is from RNAcentral. Lineage: Eukaryota; Viridiplantae; Streptophyta; Magnoliopsida; Lamiales; Oleaceae.